GAUUAUGACGUGCUUGCACUGAAUGAGAUUUUAACACGAAGUGAGUGGCGGACGGGUGAGUAACACGUGGGUAACCUGCCCAGAAGCAGGGGAUAACACCUGGAAACAGAUGCUAAUACCGUAUAACAGAGAAAACCGCCUGGUUUUCUUUUAAAAGAUGGCUCUGCUAUCACUUCUGGAUGGACCCGCGGCGCAUUAGCUAGUUGGUGAGGUAACGGCUCACCAAGGCGAUGAUGCGUAGCCGACCUGAGAGGGUAAUCGGCCACAUUGGGACUGAGACACGGCCCAGACUCCUACGGGAGGCAGCAGUAGGGAAUCUUCCACAAUGGACGCAAGUCUGAUGGAGCAACGCCGCGUGAGUGAAGAAGGGUUUCGGCUCGUAAAGCUCUGUUGUUAAAGAAGAACGUGGGUGAGAGUAACUGUUCACCCAGUGACGGUAUUUAACCAGAAAGCCACGGCUAACUACGUGCCAGCAGCCGCGGUAAUACGUAGGUGGCAAGCGUUAUCCGGAUUUAUUGGGCGUAAAGCGAGCGCAGGCGGUCUUUUAAGUCUAAUGUGAAAGCCUUCGGCUCAACCGAAGAAGUGCAUUGGAAACUGGGAGACUUGAGUGCAGAAGAGGACAGUGGAACUCCAUGUGUAGCGGUGAAAUGCGUAGAUAUAUGGAAGAACACCAGUGGCGAAGGCGGCUGUCUGGUCUGUAACUGACGCUGAGGCUCGAAAGCAUGGGUAGCGAACAGGAUUAGAUACCCUGGUAGUCCAUGCCGUAAACGAUGAUUACUAAGUGUUGGAGGGUUUCCGCCCUUCAGUGCUGCAGCUAACGCAUUAAGUAAUCCGCCUGGGGAGUACGACCGCAAGGUUGAAACUCAAAAGAAUUGACGGGGGCCCGCACAAGCGGUGGAGCAUGUGGUUUAAUUCGAAGCUACGCGAAGAACCUUACCAGGUCUUGACAU
Molecule: ribosomal RNA, 950 nt
Filed under: Pediococcus acidilactici
Lineage: Bacteria; Bacillati; Bacillota; Bacilli; Lactobacillales; Lactobacillaceae
Description: bacterial SSU rRNA
Rfam family: Bacterial small subunit ribosomal RNA
Source: RNAcentral